Molecule: microRNA, 19 nt
Filed under: Zea mays
Lineage: Eukaryota; Viridiplantae; Streptophyta; Magnoliopsida; Poales; Poaceae
Description: microRNA miR-3135
Source: RNAcentral
GAGAGUGACGAAGAAAAUC